UGCGGUGGGCUGCACUUCUCGCCUAGUAGGACGUCGCGACCCGUUGGGAUGUUCCGUUCACUGGCCCCUGGUGGAGCCCGCGCCGGAGCGUGGCCUUGUGCCGCGUUGCUGUUUGCACGGACCCGGGGUGACCUGAUCGGCGCCCGACGGUAUCAAAGCUUGGGAAGAGGCCGCACAGAGGAUGCGUUCGAUGGCCGUUUCGGCCUACACUCGGACAGGCCUGCACCCGGUCAGCGGCGCUUCUGCUUUCGAUACUCGUCCGACCCGUCUUGAAACACGGACCAAGGAGUCUAACAUGUGCGCGAGUCAUUGGGCUCUGCGAAACCUAAAGGCGAAAUGAAAGUGAAGGCCACGCACUUGUGCUGGUGCUUAGGGGUGAUGGUCGUUCCUACACGGGCGGCCCGCAACCCCGGGGCGUCUCGUUCUCUUUGAGAAGUGGCGCACCCAGAGCGUACACGUUGGGACCCGAAAGAUGGUGAACUAUGCCUGGCCAGGACGAAGUCAGGGGAAACCCUGAUGGAGGUCCGUAGCGAUUCUGACGUGCAAAUCGAUCGUCGGAGCUGGGUAUAGGGGCGAAAGACUAAUCGAACCAUCUAGUAGCUGGUUCCCUCCGAAGUUUCCCUCAGGAUAGCUGGCGCUCAUAUAGAGUUUCAUCCGGUAAAGCGAAUGAUUAGAGGCCUUGGGGCCGAAACGACCUCAACCUAUUCUCAAACUUUAAAUGGGUGAGAA
This 729-nucleotide ribosomal RNA is filed under the name Frankliniella occidentalis (western flower thrips). RNAcentral's name for it is "partial large subunit ribosomal RNA". It matches the Rfam family "Eukaryotic large subunit ribosomal RNA", at positions 603 to 1079 of the family's 3401-position model. The record is from RNAcentral. Lineage: Eukaryota; Metazoa; Arthropoda; Insecta; Thysanoptera; Thripidae.